Molecule: long non-coding RNA, 3087 nt
Organism: Talpa occidentalis (Iberian mole)
Lineage: Eukaryota; Metazoa; Chordata; Mammalia; Eulipotyphla; Talpidae
Exons: 4
Source: RefSeq, a predicted model, not a curated record
CCCAAGACCCGCUCGGAGCCGAGCCGACCCUCUAGCAGGGGUGCCGCGCGACCCCGAGGCCCCUCCCUGAUCUGGGGCUCGCAGUGUGAGACUUGGGGCAGGGAGCCCCGGGAGGCGAGGCGAAGAUUUGGCCAAGGCCGCCGCCUCAGCCUGGCUCGGGCUUGCUGCGCCCAGCAACCCACCCGAGGCCACGGUGGUGCUCCUCGGCUUGGGGUUUCGAAGGCUUGGGCUGUUUUCAAAUCUGAAGUUCCCAAGCUAGGGAUCCUCGCCGCCAGGGACCACCUCACCACAUCCCCCCACCUCAGGUGACACCCACACCACGGGCCUGGAGGCACAAGCACAACCCCGACUUGGAGACUUCUCGCAAAGUUCCUCUCAGAUAGGCAGGUUUCGCCAUGGAAGGGUGGUGGCAGGAGACGGACCACGCCCUGGGGAACCAGAUGAAGGCCAAGCAGGAUCAAGGUACAGAGCGGGAAUGAAUGCGGAUCCAUCCCAGAGGACGGAGAAGGUAGAUGAGCAUCCUAUUUGCCUCUGAUGCAAACCUGGGACUGGCGACAGUCUGCAAGAGGACUUAUCAGUCAACCUACAGAAGGUUGAAGGUACCACUCUCAACUCACUGCUAUGAGCACCUUACAGUCACUCUUGGUUGGCAAAUCUACUCUGCAUUCAAAAUCUGUGGAGCUGAGUUCUACACCUGUUGGGUGUUUGCUUCAGUGGCCUAGCCUCUGCUUGUGAUUCUCCCUCUGAGUCAAAACUUAUAAGACAAAACAUAUACAAUCCUACACAAAACCUGCAAAAUUCAAGAAAUGAAGAGCCUCUACCUGCAUUUGCUCCAUUUGUAAACGGAUCAACUCCAGCUGCUGCCGACAAGUGCUGAGCUCACAAGAUCGUUCCCGGGGAUGCCAAGGAUCAGAACUAGGCUGCCAUACCUGAGAGGGUAGAGGCUUUGAGAGCCCAGGAGCGGGUUGGAGUCCCAAAGGGAGCAACCCGCUGCUGCUUGGGUGUGGUCCAUUCCGCUCACAUACCACCCCACUGCCUGGUGCUUUCUUGGUCUCAGGCAGCACUUUGUACAGCUCCUUGUUUGUGUCAGUUCUUGGGUUGUGGAAGUGGACUCGGUAGUGGGGAUCCGAAUAAAGUGUCUCCAUCAUGGCUGACUGAUUGAGGGUAGACUCCAUACUGGGAAUAUCAAACUUCCUCACCUCUUCUUCUCUUUCAUGGCCCACUGCUGGAAACCAGGACUGCUCAAUUCCAUUUUCUCCAGCAGCACCACAAAGAUACAUGAAAUCUCUAGAUGGGCCUGGAGAACGUUUCAUUGCACCAAGGUCUCCAUUUCUUGUCAUUCCCACACUUUCAGCCAACCCUGACAAAUGAAGUUUGGAGGAAGAGGGUCCAGCAGGUGUAGAAUUUGGCUUGGCAGAAGAGGUCCCCAAAGUAGAAGGCAUCACAUGGGCUGUUGGAAUGGUUACAUGGCUUUUGAUGGGCUGGAAAGAUGGGCUGCUAUUUGAGCUGCAAAAAUCUGCAGAGAGAAUGGUUAUUCAUAAGUGAAAAUUGAAGCAGCAAUUUUUCUUGAUUUUGGCACUAUGUCAGACAUUCUGUGCCUGUCUGGGAACCAGGUAGAGAGGCCACUAUCAUCAGAAGCUCAGGCAAAAAGACACAGCAGAGCCUAAGUGGGAGAUAAUGUUCUAAAUUGAAUGCCAUUCAAGGUAAACCAAUAAAAGGCAACACUGCACUUUUAACUUAUACUCUGUCCUUUGAAUUUGAAUGAAAAAAAAAUCUUAACAGUCAACCAAAGCUAAAAACUGAACUUAAAAAAAAAUCACUUACUUAAGGGAAAUGGAUUAGGUCCCACUCUUCUGGGAGCUGGACAACACUGAACUAUAAUCCAAUCUAAUAAAUAUGACCUUUCCAAGUGCUGCCAGAAUCCUCUGUGACCUUCAGAAGCUCCCCAAUGGAGGUGAGCGUGGAAUCUAAACUCUCCAAAGAAUAGAGCAAACUGGACAAUGCUCUCUAUAUUCAGGGCAGGGGGUGCAGCAUCUGAAUCAGAGUCUGUUCUCUCUCCCACCAGCCAGAUCAGACUGCCUAGAUAUAUAAAGUUAUUUUUAGUAACUCUCAGGUUUCACUCUAGCACAGUGAGCACUCUUAAGUGGAUACACACUGAAAUCCUCUAUUUUAUAUUUUGCCACUCACCCCCUUGUUUAUAUCCAACUGUGACUUUUCCCUUUUCUUUCAGACUGGAUUUAUGCUUUCUUUAGUUCCUGCCUAGUCUUGGCAGACAACUUCCUGAUUAACCCUAGCACAGAAGUUUCAUUAUUUCUUCAUAUUCCCAAACUUUCAAGUGCUACCCAGAAGAUAAGGUCACAGAACUAAUGUGCUAGGGCAGUGGGCUGCAAGCAAAUAAAAUAGAGUGUGAGGAAACACCUGUUAUCUUCAACAGGCAGAAAACUCAAUAAAAGGGGACAGGGAUUAUAAGUUUUCCUUUUUCAUCUAUAUCCAGUACUUUUUCCAAACCAAGCACAUCCACCAUAGAGAAGGAUGGACUACCAAUUUGUUUCUCUUUUUUCUUUCCAACUACCAACACAACAUACAAAGAAACGUUUAAUAAUCAUGCUCUAUUUUCCCUAACUUCCCUAGCUUAGGCAACCAUUAAACUAUUUUCUGUGUAUACACUGGAUUGGCCUAUUCUGGACAUUUCAUGUAAAUGGAAUCAUAUAAUAAUGUGGUCUUUUGUGUCUGGCUUUUUUUCACUUAGUAUAAGUGAUAAAGUACCAAAGUGAUUUGUUUUGCCUGUUUUUUGUUUUCAUUGAAGUAAAACAUUGAGAUGUGAUUUAUAUGUAUAGAAUCACACCCUUCAGGUGUAUAUUACCACCACACCCCCUACCAAGGCACCAAAGUCCUCCACCAUAGCCCUCUCCCUGCUUUCCCUCCCCACAAAGUGACUAGUUUUGUGACUUUAAUCAACUCAUUUAACAUUCUGAAAUUCAGUUUUCUCAUCCAUAAUAUGGAAACAAUAAAAUGGUCCAUAAUUCUUAAAGGCAUUCAUGAAAUAAUGUAAAAAAAAUUAGCAAAUGUAGCCAUCACAAAAUAUUU